GGCAGCAGUGGGGAAUUUUGGACAAUGGGGGCAACCCUGAUCCAGCCAUGCCGCGUGAGUGAAGAAGGCCUUCGGGUUGUAAAGCUCUUUUGGCGGGGAAGAAAUGGCAACGGCUAAUAUCCGUUGUUGAUGACGGUACCCGCAUAAGAAGCACCGGCUAAAUACGUGCCAGCAGCCGCGGUAAUACGUAGGGUGCGAGCGUUUAUCGGAAUUACUGGGGGUAAAGCGUGCGCCGGCGGUUUUGUAAGACAGACGUGAAAUCCCCGGGCUCAACCUGGGAAAUGCGUUUGUGACUGCGAGGCUAGAGUGUGGCAGAGGGGGGUAGAAUUCCACGUGUAGCAGUGAAAUGCGUAGAGAUGUGGAGGAACACCGAUGGCGAAGGCAGCCCCCUGGGUUAGUACUGACGCUCAUGCACGAAAGCGUGGGGAGCAAACAGGAUUAGAUACCCCGGUAGUCCACGCCCUAAACGAUGUCAACUAGGUGUUGGAAGGGUUAAACCUUUUAGUACCGCAGCUAACG
Molecule: ribosomal RNA, 519 nt
Filed under: uncultured bacterium
Lineage: Bacteria
Description: bacterial SSU rRNA
Rfam family: Bacterial small subunit ribosomal RNA
Source: RNAcentral